This 352-nucleotide long non-coding RNA is filed under the name Phoenix dactylifera (date palm). RNAcentral describes it as "long non-coding RNA (PDAC_LNC021755)". The record is from RNAcentral. Lineage: Eukaryota; Viridiplantae; Streptophyta; Magnoliopsida; Arecales; Arecaceae.
AAAAGAAGUGGACCAGAUCAGCCUUAUCAAGCCCAUGGUGCGGGCACUUGACCAGUAGAUCAUGGAAUCUUUCCCAAAGUUGGAAAAAUUCCUCCUCAGAUUUUUCUCUAAAAGUUCUUAUGGCAUCCUUAAUUUUUUCAGUCUUUACCAUGGGAUAGAACUUAGCCAUGAACUUCCUAGAUAGUUGUUCCCAUGAUGUGACGGAAUUUGAACCAAGGGAAUACAGCCAUGCAGCAGCACGAUCCUCUAAAGUCAUGGAAAACAACCUUAAUUCUUCAUCUAAGUUUUGAUUUCUAAAUGUUUGACAGAUUGUCAAAAAUUUGUUUAGAUGAAUGUAGGGUUGUUCACUCUC